CCGGGCCUGGAUCUUCCAGGAGGGGACAGUGCAGCGGUGAUCCGCAGCAGUAAUGGCGCGUGUUCCUCUCUGUAGCUGACGCCUGCACACGAGACAGCCCAGCACGGAGCCUCCAAGACCUAGCAGUAACUGAAGUUAGGAAGGGAGGCAGGCAGGCAGAUAAACCAGAGAAACAGUGGACAUCUGGCAACGCAAUCUGCACUUUGAGCCCCCUUCACGAAGACUUUCCUGCACCGCUGCGUCUGUACUUGGCACAGGUAUGUCUAACGACUGU
RNAcentral lists this long non-coding RNA (274 nucleotides) under Fukomys damarensis (Damara mole-rat). RNAcentral's name for it is "lncRNA (ENSFDAG00000031653.1)". Lineage: Eukaryota; Metazoa; Chordata; Mammalia; Rodentia; Bathyergidae. The record is from RNAcentral.